CCUUUCUCUCUGUAGAUUCAGUGAUACAUAUAUACAGAGAGACAUAUAGUUGGGGUAUAUACUAAAGUAGAGAAUAUUAGCGGGGUUGUAGUCUUUGGGGUGGUGAAGAUGAGCAACAGUGGUAUAGUUGGGGGAUUAGCUAGGGUUUCAAUCCCUUCUGGUAUGCGAAAGACGAUCCAAAACAUCAAAGAGAUCACUGGAAAUCAUGGUGAAGAUGAGAUAUAUGCAAUGCUCAAGGAAUGUUCUAUGGAUCCCAAUGAGACUACUCAGAAGCUUCUUUCACAGGAUACAUUCCAUGAAGUUAAAAGCAAGCGUGAUCGGAGAAAAGAGAAUUCAAUUAAGGAGUCUGCUGAACCAAAGUGGAAACCAGGCAUGCAGGGCAGAGGUAACAAAGGGAUUCGUGGAAAUUUGACUUCUCGUCAUGCUUCACAUGAUGUAGGUGGUGGAAAGAAUGGUCAAAACAAUAUUGCCAAUCAAAUUCUUGACAAGAGUGUCAACUUAUCUACUGUGGUUGAUGUUGAGGCUAAGAAUAUUUCAAGCUCAUCAAGUGCUGCAGUAAAUGGACCUAGCGAUCUAGCUUCGGGGAGUAACAGUAUCAUACAAAAUGCUCAUGCUUCCCCAAAAAGAGAAGUUAAACAAUUUGAAGCAAAUACAGGCAUGCAGACAACUUCUGCUGAUUCCACCAAAAACAGAUCAGCUACAGGAAACAAAGAUGUGCAUGGUCAGCGGAUGCCAAACACCGGCAAUUCUUCAAGAAUGCUAUCUUCACCAUCUCCAACAGGAGCUUAUCUCUCAGCUUCAGAUCCCGUGCUCUUGCCAUCUCAAAAUUCACGUCCCGCUGGUGUAGUAGGCACAGUUAGAAGGGAAGUUGGGCCCCAGUAUUCUGGGGUUGAGCAUGUUUCUCCUAAAUCCAAUGGGAGCAAAAAGACAACUGUAGCAGUUUCUACUGUUGGAAGCUCAAAUAUCCAAGUAAAGACGCCAAGCAAAUUUCAGGGGCCUGGAAAGAAUCAACUUCCGGAGUACUCGCAAACUGCUUCUUCAACCCAUAGUGGUUCUUCCUCCAGUAGGCCGUCAUCUAAUUACAACAAUCGGUCACACACAGUUGGUCCACUAAAAGGUCCUUUUAAGGAGUGGAAGCCAAAGCCUGUAAACAGUAAUCUAGCUCAGGGGUCUACUCUUGCUGCUGCUGCUUCUUCAUCUGGUGUGUCUACGGUUUCUGUUGAAGUCAAUACUCUGUCGCAGGCUCCUGCUUCUGUUCCUGAAACAAAAGAAGUCACUGAGGAUCUGCAGAAGAAGUUGGAGAAAUCACACAUUUCAGAUGUUGAAAAUGUUAUUAUCCCUAAUCACCUUCAUGUUCCUGAGUCUGAAAAACUUGGGUUCUGUUUUGGAAGCUUUGACUCUGGCUUUAGUUUGGGCACAAGCACAAAUAUUGCUCCUGAGCAUGAUGGAAGUCCACCACUUUCUG
RNAcentral lists this unclassified non-coding RNA (1465 nucleotides) under Hevea brasiliensis (rubber tree). Lineage: Eukaryota; Viridiplantae; Streptophyta; Magnoliopsida; Malpighiales; Euphorbiaceae. The record is from RNAcentral.